CUCAAUCUGGUAGCGAUGUUUCUGAUUCCCAAACUCCCUCUUAGAAGCUGACAAGCAACAGCAGCUCUCAGCUAAGGCAGACUUGGGAAAUGACUAAUUAAACAGUGAUUGCAGGAUUGCUUCCUGACCUGGAUAUCAGACCACAAGGGUGAAGCUUCAUAAAGAUAGAGGUUGAGAGAAGACAGAUGACAGAAGAUUUGGGACAGUAGCCUGUGGUGCUCCUAGAGAUAGAUCCAACUGCCUGUAGCCAGUAUGAUAGAGUGACGAUGCAGAAGAAGUCUUACCUGCUGCACUGGCAGAAUUUCAGGAUGAUGAACCCCUCCUUUCUCCAGACCUGUGCAGGAAUCUGCCACUGUUACAUAAAGCUGUGACCCACGUGUGCGUCAGUCCCACCAGGCUCACAAGUAAAUGAGGAAGAUCUCAAGAAGCUCUGAGAUGAUGUCUGAAAGGAUUUCCUUCCCUCCCGCCCAGAGGGUUGAACCUUGCAGAAAGGUCACUUAAUUGUGCUGCUUGGAGAUCUCAUACUGGGCCCAGCGCUCCCUGUACCCUGCAGAACACCAAUGACUGGGGCAGCAGUAACAUCAUCCCAGUGGCUUUGUGCUGUCUGCAUCACCCCUGUGCUGUCUGUGUCAGGGGUGUGUUUUCAAAAGACAGAAAGAAAGCAUUUUAGAGGAGGUAUUCCUGCGUGGGAUUAAUGGGAUUGAUGCAUCUGGAUUAAUGCAGCUUUUCCUGAAAGAAAUGCUCUCUUUU
RNAcentral lists this long non-coding RNA (750 nucleotides) under Gallus gallus (chicken). RNAcentral describes it as "long non-coding RNA NONGGAT002929". The record is from RNAcentral. Lineage: Eukaryota; Metazoa; Chordata; Aves; Galliformes; Phasianidae.